Cyprinus carpio (common carp) is the source of this 560-nucleotide long non-coding RNA. The record is from Ensembl. Lineage: Eukaryota; Metazoa; Chordata; Actinopteri; Cypriniformes; Cyprinidae.
AGGGUAUGCUGUGACAUCUUUUUUCACAUUGAGUUAUUAAUAUGAGUAUGUAUUUUUUUUAGGUCUUCUUUGUACAUUAUGACAGACCAGACCAAAACUACUCUAGAUUGGCUCCCAGCUUGUUUUAAAGUCCUGAAAAUUUCAAGAACCCAUGUAUCUGGCUUCAUCACCAACAAAGCUGACCUCAGCACUGUACUAGAAUGCCACAAGAGAGAAACACUGACAUCAUUUGUUGCUUGGUCUGAUGAUAAAAGAAAGAAAGAACAGGGGCCACAUCGUCUGGUUUGGCAGGUGGAAGAUUUGUCUGAGAAUGUUCCUCUUGCUGUUACGAACAGAGUAAUUCAUUGUUGUCAGCAUGGCAAUCCACGAAAUAAUUGCAAAAAUCUGGAGGUAGGAUUCAGGAUAUGUUUUUGUUGUUGUUGUUUUUUUUAAAUGGAUUAACUAAUGCAAAUUUUACAAAGGCAUACUUUUCUCUGAACUUUUUUUUUCUCCAUAUAUUUCAGCUCUCUACAGAACAUGAGCAUGUAUACUCUGGCAAAAGGAAAAGAAUGUACAUACAA